AGCGAACGCUGGCGGCGUGCCUAACACAUGCAAGUCGAACGUGAAAGGGAGCAAUCCCAAGUAAAGUGGCGUACGGGUGAGUAACACGUAGGUAAUCUACCCCAGAAUCUGGAAUAACCGGCCGAAAGGCUGGCUAAUACUGGAUAGAGCGACGGAAUCCGUAAUUGGGUUUUUCGGGAAAGGGAGCCUGUAAAAAGGCCUUCGUUCUGGGAUGAGCCUGCGUCCCAUCAGCUAGUUGGUGAGGUAAAAGCUUACCAAGGCAAUGACGGGUAGCUGGUCUGAGAGGACGAUCAGCCACACUGGAACUGAAACACGGUCCAGACUCCUACGGCAGGCAGCAGUGGGGAAUCUUGCGCAAUAGACGAAAGUCUGACGCAGCAACGCCGCGUGAGUGAAGAAGGCCUUCGGGUUGUAAAGCUCUGUCGAGUGGGACGAAAAUGCUUGGAGUUCACAGCUCCAGGAACUGACGGUACCACUAAAGGAAGCACCGGCUAACUCCGUG
This 502-nucleotide ribosomal RNA is filed under the name uncultured bacterium. Its description in RNAcentral is "partial 16S ribosomal RNA". It matches the Rfam family "Bacterial small subunit ribosomal RNA", at positions 29 to 507 of the family's 1533-position model. The record is from RNAcentral.